AGAGUUUGAUCCUGGCUCAGGACGAACGCUGGCGGCGUGCCUAACACAUGCAAGUCGAACGGAGAUAAAGAUUUCGGUUUUUAUCUUAGUGGCGCACGGGUGAGUAACACGUGAAUAACCUGACCCAAAGAGGGGGAUAACACCUGGAAACAGGUGCUAAUACCGCAUAAGACCACAAUGUCGCAUGACGAAGGGGUCAAAGAAAAUCGCUUUGGGAGGGGUUCGCGUCCCAUUAGGUAGUAGGCGGGGUAACGGCCCUCCUAGCCGACGAUGGGUAGCCGAGCUGAGAGGCUGAUCGGCCACACUGGAACUGAGACACGGUCCAGACUACUACGGGAGGCAGCAGUGGGGAAUAUUGGGCAAUGGGCGCAAGCCUGACCCAGCAACGCCGCGUGAGGGAAGAAGGUUUUCGGAUUGUAAACCUCUGUCGCAGAAGACGAAGGAAGUGACGGUAUUCUGUGAGGAAGCCCCGGCUAACUACGUGCCAGCAGCCGCGGUAAUACGUAGGGGGCGAGCGUUGUCCGGAAUUACUGGGCGUAAAGGGAGCGUAGGCGGUCUGAUAAGUUGGAUGUGAAAUACCCGGGCUUAACUUGGGGGGUGCAUCCAAUACUGUUGGACUAGAGUACAGGAGAGGAAAGCGGAAUUCCUAGUGUAGCGGUGAAAUGCAUAGAUAUUAGGAGGAACAUCGGUGGCGAAGGCGGCUUUCUGGACUGCAACUGACGCUGAGGCUCGAAAGCGCGGGGAGCAAACAGGAUUAGAUACCCAGGUAGUCCACGCUGUAAACGAUGAAUACUAGGUGUAGGGGGUAUAAACUCCCUCUGUGCCGCAGCAAACGCAAUAAGUAUUCCGCCUGGGGAGUACGGCCGCAAGGUUGAAACUCAAAGGAAUUGACGGGGGCCCGCACAAGCAGCGGAGCAUGUGGUUUAAUUCGACGCAACGCGAAGAACCUUACCAAGGCUUGACAUCCACUUAAAGUUAUGGAAACAUAAUGUCCCUUCGGGGGAAGUGAGACAGGUGGUGCAUGGUUGUCGUCAGCUCGUGUCGUGAGAUGUUGGGUUAAGUCCCGCAACGAGCGCAACCCCUGUUGCCAGUUGCCAGCAAGUAAAGUUGGGGACUCUGGUGAGACUGCCGGGGACAACUCGGAGGAAGGUGGGGAUGACGUCAAAUCAUCAUGCCCCUUAUGUCUUGGGCUACACACGUGCUACAAUGGCUGUAACAAAGGGAAGCGACCUUGU
Molecule: ribosomal RNA, 1235 nt
Filed under: metagenome
Description: bacterial SSU rRNA
Rfam family: Bacterial small subunit ribosomal RNA
Source: RNAcentral